AGGUGAUAUGAACCGUUAUAACCGGCGAUUUCCGAAUGGGGAAACCCAGUGUGUUUCGACACACUAUCAUUAACUGAAUCCAUAGGUUAAUGAGGCGAACCGGGGGAACUGAAACAUCUAAGUACCCCGAGGAAAAGAAAUCAACCGAGAUUCCCCCAGUAGCGGCGAGCGAACGGGGAGGAGCCCAGAGCCUGAAUCAGUGUGUGUGUUAGUGGAAGCGUCUGGAAAGGCGCGCGAUACAGGGUGACAGCCCCGUACACAAAAAUGCACACA
RNAcentral lists this ribosomal RNA (273 nucleotides) under Escherichia coli. RNAcentral describes it as "partial 23S ribosomal RNA". It matches the Rfam family "Bacterial large subunit ribosomal RNA", at positions 84 to 393 of the family's 2925-position model. Lineage: Bacteria; Pseudomonadati; Pseudomonadota; Gammaproteobacteria; Enterobacterales; Enterobacteriaceae. The record is from RNAcentral.